UACGUAGGAGGCGAGCGUUGUCCGGAGUUACUGGGCGUAAAGGGUGCGCAGGCGGCGGUUCGCGUGGCGAGAUGAAAUCUCCUGGCUUACCUGGGAGGAUGGUCGCCAGACGGGAUCGCUUGAGGGUCGGAGAGGGGCGUGGAAUUCCGGGUGGAGCGGUGAAAUGUGUAGAGAUCGGGAGGAACACCUGUGGCGAGAGCGGCGCACUGGACCACAUCUGACGCUGAGGCGCGAAAGCUAGGGGAGCAAACAGG
RNAcentral lists this ribosomal RNA (254 nucleotides) under uncultured bacterium. RNAcentral describes it as "partial 16S ribosomal RNA". It matches the Rfam family "Bacterial small subunit ribosomal RNA", at positions 524 to 776 of the family's 1533-position model. The record is from RNAcentral.